CAGCCGCCGCGGUAAUACGGAGGGUGCAAGCGUUAAUCGGAAUUACUGGGCGUAAAGCGUGGGUAGGCGGUUCGUUAAGUCUGUUGUGAAAGCCCCGGGCUCAACCUGGGAAUGGCAAUGGAUACUGGCGAGCUAGAGUGUGUCAGAGGAUGGUGGAAUUCCCGGUGUAGCGGUGAAAUGCGUAGAGAUCGGGAGGAACAUCAGUGGCGAAGGCGGCCAUCUGGGACAACACUGACGCUGAGGCACGAAAGCGUGGGGAGCAAACAGGAUUAGAUACCCCCGUAGUCCCUGUCUCUUAUAC
This 301-nucleotide ribosomal RNA is filed under the name uncultured bacterium. Its description in RNAcentral is "partial 16S ribosomal RNA". It matches the Rfam family "Bacterial small subunit ribosomal RNA", at positions 509 to 807 of the family's 1533-position model. The record is from RNAcentral.